AGUGAACGCUGGCGGUAGGCCUAACACAUGCAAGUCGAACGGCAGCACAGUAAGAGCUUGCUCUUACGGGUGGCGAGUGGCGGACGGGUGAGGAAUACAUCGGAAUCUACUUUUUCGUGGGGGAUAACGUAGGGAAACUUACGCUAAUACCGCAUACGACCUACGGGUGAAAGCAGGGGAUCUUCGGACCUUGCGCGAUUGAAUGAGCCGAUGUCGGAUUAGCUAGUUGGCGGGGUAAAGGCCCACCAAGGCGACGAUCCGUAGCUGGUCUGAGAGGAUGAUCAGCCACACUGGAACUGAGACACGGUCCAGACUCCUACGGGAGGCAGCAGUGGGGAAUAUUGGACAAUGGGCGCAAGCCUGAUCCAGCCAUACCGCGUGGGUGAAGAAGGCCUUCGGGUUGUAAAGCCCUUUUGUCGGGAAAGAAAAGCAGCAGGUUAAUACCCCGCUGUUCUGACGGUACCCAAAGAAUAAGCACCGGCGAACUUCGU
This 491-nucleotide ribosomal RNA is filed under the name uncultured bacterium. RNAcentral describes it as "partial 16S ribosomal RNA". It matches the Rfam family "Bacterial small subunit ribosomal RNA", at positions 29 to 506 of the family's 1533-position model. The record is from RNAcentral.